UACGGGGGGAGCAAGCGUUGUUCGGAUUUACUGGGCGUAAAGGGCGCGUAGGCGGUCGUGACAAGUCACUUGUGAAAUCUCCGGGCUUAACUCGGAACGGUCAAGUGAUACUGUCGGACUAGAGUACAGAAGGGGGCAACUGGAAUUCUCGGUGUAGCGGUGAAAUGCGUAGAUAUCGAGAGGAACACCGGUGGCGAAGGCGGCCUUCUGGACAGUGACUGACGCUGAGACGCGAAAGCGUGGGGGAGCAAACAGG
RNAcentral lists this ribosomal RNA (256 nucleotides) under uncultured bacterium. RNAcentral describes it as "partial 16S ribosomal RNA". It matches the Rfam family "Bacterial small subunit ribosomal RNA", at positions 524 to 776 of the family's 1533-position model. The record is from RNAcentral.